Homo sapiens (human) is the source of this 901-nucleotide long non-coding RNA. Ensembl annotates it as coiled-coil domain containing 144B, pseudogene. Its record names the gene CCDC144BP. The record is from Ensembl. NCBI's taxonomy places the organism in Eukaryota, Metazoa, Chordata, Mammalia, Primates, Hominidae.
AAGAAAAAAGAGGUCUGCUCUUAAGGACAUGGAGAGCUACUUGUUGAAGAUGCAGCAGAAGUUGCAAAAUGAUCUAACUGCAGAAGUAGCAGGAUCCAGCCAAACUGGACUGCACAGAAUUCCACAGUGCUCGUCCUUCUCCAGCUCUUUGCACUUGCUUCUUUGCUCUAUCUGCCAACCUUUUUUUCUCAUCCUUCAGCUGCUACUAAAUAUGAACCUGGAUCCUAUAUAGCUUCUCCUCUAGGAUUUACACACAAGGAAAAUCUGAAUCAAGAUCCAGUUUUGGAAGUAACAAAAGAGUAUGCACAGAUUUUAAGAAGAAAAUACAUACUCUGAAAGAUAAGGCAAUUUUAUUUGGGCUAUUCACAUGAUAUUUUGUUUCCCAUUAAAUAUAUGAUGUGAACAUUUUUACUAAAGGGAAAUAUUCUAUAUUAUACAUGUCUGAUGAAAAUUUAUGUAGUAUUUUAAAUAAUGUUUCUUGGCCUCUUCAGCUAACUUUUAAGUGGAUUUUGCAAAUGAAAACCAGUAUUACUGAGUUUUACAUACUCGAACUGCCCAAAUGUUUGCUGUUUAAACAGCCAAAUAAUCAAGUUGCCAUUAGUAAUUUAGUGGAGCCAAUUGAUGGCUUGUUUGUAUUUUAUAAUUUUAUCUUUAUACAUAGUGAUAGAUUUAAGUUUAGAUAGACAUCAUUUUGGUAUACUGGUACUGUGGUCAUUGUCAAUGUUUGGAUGUAUUACGAUUGUUAUAGUGCAAUCAAACUUAGAUAAUUUUAAUUUUAAGCACUGAUUUAUUUAGAUCUUUCCUUGUGGAAAAAUAAGGUUUGCCUAAGGCUUUUUGCUUUUUUAUUUAUUGUUUCAUUUCUUUAUUAGAUUAACUUUUGGGAAACAGUCUUAAAAUUGGA